CACCCCCCUGAGCGUCCCUGCAUCCCAGCACCCCCCACCCCAAAGGGACAUCACAGCAACCGCCCCAUAGGGACACAGAAACAGCCAUCGGGACCCCCACCCCAAAAACGCACAGAUCCGGGCUAUGUCUGCGCCGCUGUUUAAUGUCCCCAUCGCUCCUCUCACGGCUCUUUGCCGUCCCCCCUCUGUUCGCUGGAAGCUCCGCCGCUCUCAGCGCGGCCCCCCGAGCCAUCGGUGCGGCCCCUCCGGGACGUGGGGUCUCCCCCUGAGGCGCUGCUCGUGUCCUCCGGGGCUGCCACGGCGUCAAUGGCGGCGUGCUCCUUCCUCACCAGCUCCUGCAGCUCCUUCUUCCAGCCCAGCAGCUCUGCCAGUGCCAGGCAGCCCUCAUCGCAGUCCCCCAGCCAGGCCACGUCCCUGUAGGCUUUGUCCGAGUCGAAGUCCAUCCCGCAGCCGAAGCCCAUGAGGGACAUGAAGACAUCGCUCUGCCCUGUUUUCUCCUUGUUGAUGAGGAGCCUGGGGGUGCUGGCAGGGACCCUGCUAACAAGGGAGGCGAAGGGCUGGACCUGCAGUGAAGUGCCCAUGAUGAUGAGAAGAUCAACCUUCUGGAAGUCCGACUGCAGAAGACUGAAGAAGCGAGAUGGAAGAUUCUCACCAAAAAAUACGAUGUCUGGCUUCACCACGCUCUGGCAUUUGUCGCACUUGGGAACGAGGGAAGAGAAGAUUUUCUCCUUCACCCAGCUCAGGUCAUACUGAUGCCGGCAGGAGGAGCGCAGGCAGUGCGCGGUUUGGAAGGUGCCGUGAGCCUCCACCAACUCCUCGGGCUGCAGCCCCGCCACGCGCUCCAGCGUGUCGAUGUUCUGUGUGUAGCAGCGCAGCAGCAGCCCCUUCUCCUUCAGCAGCCGCAUGAAGUAGUGGCAAACGGUGGGCUUCAGCUGCCCUGGGAGCAGCUCCUUAGCCAACGCAAAGAAAGGCUCUGGGUGUUGCUUGAAAUAGCUGAUGUCAAAGAUGGCCUCGGGGUAGGGCAGUUCGUAGCGGCCCAGGUUGGCGUACAGCCCGGUUCCGGGUGAGCGGAAGUCGGGGAUUCCAGCGGCCGUGGAGAUGCCGGCGCCCACCAUGCACACCACACGGCGGCAGCGCUCGCUUUGCAUGAACCGGGCGAUUCCCGCCAGCGACAGCUCAUCCAGAACGCGCUCCGGCGGCUCCGUGCCCAACCCCAGCGUCCGUGCCAGGAGGUUCCGCAGCAGCUCCAUAUCGGAGUCUUCCUCGGAGCCGCCCUCAGCCUCAGCGUCGGGAUCAGCCCCGGGAGGGGGAGCGUCCGCUUCGGACAUGGGAACUCCUGGAGGCACUUCCCG
This 1352-nucleotide long non-coding RNA is filed under the name Gallus gallus (chicken). Lineage: Eukaryota; Metazoa; Chordata; Aves; Galliformes; Phasianidae. The record is from RNAcentral.